RNAcentral lists this ribosomal RNA (504 nucleotides) under uncultured bacterium. RNAcentral's name for it is "partial 16S ribosomal RNA". It matches the Rfam family "Bacterial small subunit ribosomal RNA", at positions 28 to 507 of the family's 1533-position model. The record is from RNAcentral.
GGCGAACGCUGGCGGCGUGCCUAAUACAUGCAAGUAGAACGCACAGUUUAUACCGUAGCUUGCUACCCAAAGACUGGUAGUUGCCAACGGGGGAAUAAAGCGGAAGUAACCUUCCCGGUUGCGGGGGGUAACCAUUGGGAACGGUAACUAAUAACGCAUAAUUAUGAUUAUUGCAAGUUAAUUUCUUUAAAAGUUCAAUUUGAUCAUCACCAGACGGAUCCGCGUUUUAUUAGCUAAUAGGGGAGGUAACGGCCCACCUAGGCGCCGGUACAUUACCGACCUGAGAGGGUGAUCGGCCACACUGGGACUGGGACACGGCCCAGACUCCUACGGGAGGCAGCAGUAGGGAAUCUUCGGCAAUGGACGGAAGUCUGACCGAGCAACGCCGCGUGAGUGAAGAAGGUUUUCGGGUCGUAAAGCUCUGUUGUAAGAGAAGAACGGGUGUGAGAGUGGAAAGUUCACACUGUGACGGUAUCUUACCAGAAAGGAACGGCUAACUACGUG